AAAAUCCAACACCAGCAGGGGAUUCUAGGAAGAGAAUGUUAGCAUCUGGAAGUUGUUCAAAAAUUGAACUAAUCUGGUUUCGAACCGGACCUUGACAGGUUUAGCUGUAGAAAUACUGAUUUCAAAGGAGCAUUCGCGGCUUUUACAAAAACUGAAAAGACUCACCAUUAUUCCAGGCGUAUUCAUUUCGAUACGGCGUUUUGCGGUCUCUGUUAACUCUGAGUGGCCCCAGUUCCAUCAUUGCUCCAUUGCCAAAAGAAAAGCAACCAGGCCUUGCCCAUCAAAGCCACAAUGCUCAGUAACAAAGAGUUACAGGUUCAGGAAAAU
This 327-nucleotide unclassified non-coding RNA is filed under the name Hevea brasiliensis (rubber tree). The record is from RNAcentral. Lineage: Eukaryota; Viridiplantae; Streptophyta; Magnoliopsida; Malpighiales; Euphorbiaceae.